GGCUACUAGGGUAUCUAAUCCUGUUUGCUCCCCACGCUUUCGCUUCUCAGUGUCAGUAUCGGCCCAGAGACCCGCCUUCGCCACCGGUGUUCCUCCUGAUAUCUGCGCAUUCCACCGCUACACCAGGAAUUCCAGUCUCCCCUGCCGAACUCUAGCUCGCCCGUAUCGGAAGCAGGCCCGCGGUUAAGCCGCGGGUUUUCACUCCCGACGCAACGAGCCACCUACAAGCUCUUUACGCCCAAUAAUUCCGGACAACGCUCGCACCCUACGUAUUACCGCGGCGGCUGACAC
RNAcentral lists this unclassified non-coding RNA (291 nucleotides) under uncultured Actinomycetes bacterium. RNAcentral describes it as "uncultured actinobacterium contains 16S-23S intergenic spacer region". The record is from RNAcentral. Lineage: Bacteria; Bacillati; Actinomycetota; Actinomycetes.